GUAAAGUGACUAGACAUCAGGAUAGAUAAUAAGGUAUUUGAGGUAGAUAUGUACAUGAAGGCAGGGUAAAGUGACUAGACAUCAGGAUAGAUAAUAAUAAGGUAUUUGAGGUAGAUAUGUACAUGAAGGCAGGGUAAAGUGACUAGGCAUCAGGAUAGAUAAUAAUAAGGUAUUUGAGGUAGAUAUGUACAUGAAGGCAGGGUAAAGUGAAUAGACAUCAGGAUAGAUAAUAAUAAGGUAUUUGAGGUAGAUAUGUACAUGAAGGCAGGGUAAAGUGACUAGGCAUCAGGAUAGAUAAUAAUAAGGUAUUUGAGGUAGAUAUGUACAUGAAGGCAGGGUAAAGUGACUAGGCAUCAGGAUAGAUAAUAAUAAGGUAUUUGAGGUAGAUAUGUACAUGAAGGCAGGGUAAAGUGACUAGACAUCAGGAUAGAUAAUAAUAAGGUAUUUGAGGUAGAUAUGAACAUGAAGGCAGGGUAAAGUGACUAGACAUCAGGAUAGAUAAUAAUAAGGUAUUAGAGGUAGAUAUGUCCAUGAAGGCAGGGUAAAGUGACAGAGACAGACAGAGAUAGUGACAGACAGCGAGAGAGAGAGUUUUGAAACACACAACACCUCCCCUACCUGCAGGAUGUUUCUCUGUAUAGCCAUGCCCUUGGCCCCGCCCCCAAUAGAGGACAUUUCCAACAUGGCCGCUAUGCUCCUCACGCUGCCAGCGCUCCCCGUAUCCACGACGACCGUCUCCACGGAUACACCCAGGUCGCUGGC
This is a long non-coding RNA of Oncorhynchus keta (chum salmon), 762 nucleotides long. RefSeq lists it as uncharacterized. The record is from RefSeq and is a predicted model, not a curated record. NCBI's taxonomy places the organism in Eukaryota, Metazoa, Chordata, Actinopteri, Salmoniformes, Salmonidae. The transcript has 3 exons.